This 72-nucleotide transfer RNA is filed under the name Candidatus Filomicrobium marinum. It matches the Rfam family "tRNA". From Rfam's summary of the family: Transfer RNA (tRNA) molecules are approximately 80 nucleotides in length. The record is from Rfam by way of RNAcentral. Lineage: Bacteria; Pseudomonadati; Pseudomonadota; Alphaproteobacteria; Hyphomicrobiales; Hyphomicrobiaceae.
UCCGCGGUAGCUCAGCGGUAGAGCAUCCGACUGUUAAUCGGACGGUCGUAGGUUCGAAUCCUACCCGCGGAG